This 563-nucleotide ribosomal RNA is filed under the name Aspergillus fumigatus. RNAcentral describes it as "eukaryotic LSU rRNA". The stretch from base 180 to 333 matches the Rfam family "5.8S ribosomal RNA". The record is from RNAcentral. Lineage: Eukaryota; Fungi; Ascomycota; Eurotiomycetes; Eurotiales; Aspergillaceae.
GUGAGGCCUCUGGGUCCAACCUCCCACCCGUGUCUAUCGUACCUUGUUGCUUCGGCGGGCCCGCCGUUUCGACGGCCGCCGGGGAGGCCUUGCGCCCCCGGGCCCGCGCCCGCCGAAGACCCCAACAUGAACGCUGUUCUGAAAGUAUGCAGUCUGAGUUGAUUAUCGUAAUCAGUUAAAACUUUCAACAACGGAUCUCUUGGUUCCGGCAUCGAUGAAGAACGCAGCGAAAUGCGAUAAGUAAUGUGAAUUGCAGAAUUCAGUGAAUCAUCGAGUCUUUGAACGCACAUUGCGCCCCCUGGUAUUCCGGGGGGCAUGCCUGUCCGAGCGUCAUUGCUGCCCUCAAGCACGGCUUGUGUGUUGGGCCCCCGUCCCCCUCUCCCGGGGGACGGGCCCGAAAGGCAGCGGCGGCACCGCGUCCGGUCCUCGAGCGUAUGGGGCUUUGUCACCUGCUCUGUAGGCCCGGCCGGCGCCAGCCGACACCCAACUUUAUUUUUCUAAGGUUGACCUCGGAUCAGGUAGGGAUACCCGCUGAACUUAAGCAUAUCAAUAAGCGGAGGAAA